CCUACGGGUGGCAGCAGUGAGGAAUAUUGGUCAAUGGGCGAGAGCCUGAACCAGCCAAGUCGCGUGAGGGAGUACUGCCCUAUGGGUUGUAAACCUCUUUUGUCGGGGAGCAAAAGCCGGACGUGUCCGGCUGUGAGAGUACCCGAAGAAAAAGCAUCGGCUAACUCCGUGCCAGCAGCCGGGGUAAUACGGAGGAUGCGAGCGUUAUCCGGAUUUAUUGGGUUUAAAGGGUGCGCAGGCGGAUUUUUAAGUCAGCGGUAAAAUCGUGGGGCUCAACCCCAUCCAGCCGUUGAAACUGGGGAUCUAGAGUGUGCGAGAGGUAUGCGGAAUGCGUGGUGUAGCGGUGAAAUGCAUAGAUAUCACGCAGAACCCCGAUUGCGAAGGCAGCAUACCGGUGCACAACUGACGCUCAGGCACGAAAGCGUGGGUAUCGAACAGGAUUAGAUACCCUAGUAGUC
RNAcentral lists this ribosomal RNA (458 nucleotides) under uncultured bacterium. RNAcentral describes it as "partial 16S ribosomal RNA". It matches the Rfam family "Bacterial small subunit ribosomal RNA", at positions 338 to 795 of the family's 1533-position model. The record is from RNAcentral.